UGCUGAACCAUCUCUCUAGCCCGGGAAACAUUUUUAAAAACUGUAUAAGUCGGACUGGAGAGAUGGCUUAGCAGU
This 75-nucleotide microRNA precursor is filed under the name Jaculus jaculus (lesser Egyptian jerboa). Its description in RNAcentral is "miRNA (ENSJJAG00000002770.1)". Lineage: Eukaryota; Metazoa; Chordata; Mammalia; Rodentia; Dipodidae. The record is from RNAcentral.